This 293-nucleotide ribosomal RNA is filed under the name uncultured bacterium. RNAcentral describes it as "partial 16S ribosomal RNA". It matches the Rfam family "Bacterial small subunit ribosomal RNA", at positions 505 to 796 of the family's 1533-position model. The record is from RNAcentral.
GUGCCAGCAGCCGCGGUAAGACGAACCGUGCGAACGUUAUUCGGAAUCACUGGGCUUAAAGCGCGCGCAGGCGGGCCGGCACGUCGGUCGCUGAAAGCCCCCGGCUCAACCGGGGAAGGGGCGUCGAUACGACCGGCCUGGAGGGGCGUAGGGGGGCCCGGAACUUCCGGUGGAGCGGUGAAAUGCGUUGAGAUCGGAAGGAACGCCCGUGGCGAAAGCGGGGCCCUGGACGCCAUCUGACGCUGAGGCGCGAAAGCCAGGGGAGCGAACGGGAUUAGAUACCCCCGUAGUCC